CGGACGGGUGAGUAAUGUCUGGGAAACUGCCUGAUGGAGGGGGAUAACUACUGGAAACGGUAGCUAAUACCGCAUAACGUCGCAAGACCAAAGAGGGGGACCGUUCGGGCCUCUUGCCAUCGGAUGUGCCCAGAUGGGAUUAGCUAGUAGGUGGGGUAACGGCUCACCUAGGCGACGAUCCCUAGCUGGUCUGAGAGGAUGACCAGCCACACUGGAACUGAGACACGGUCCAG
Molecule: ribosomal RNA, 233 nt
Filed under: uncultured bacterium
Lineage: Bacteria
Description: partial 16S ribosomal RNA
Rfam family: Bacterial small subunit ribosomal RNA
Source: RNAcentral